This 801-nucleotide ribosomal RNA is filed under the name uncultured Alteromonadaceae bacterium. Its description in RNAcentral is "bacterial SSU rRNA". It matches the Rfam family "Bacterial small subunit ribosomal RNA", at positions 65 to 863 of the family's 1533-position model. Lineage: Bacteria; Pseudomonadati; Pseudomonadota; Gammaproteobacteria; Alteromonadales; Alteromonadaceae. The record is from RNAcentral.
AACGGUAGCAGGAAGUGCUUGCACUCUGCUGACGAGUGGCGGACGGGUGAGUAAUGCUUAGGGAUCUGCCUUCGGGAGGGGGAUAACAGUUGGAAACGACUGCUAAUACCGCAUAAUACCUACGGGUCAAAGGGGGGUUCGCCUCUCGCCUGAAGAUGAACCUAAGUGAGAUUAGCUAGUUGGUGAGGUAAAGGCUCACCAAGGCGACGAUCUCUAGCUGGUCUGAGAGGAUGACCGGCCACACUGGGACUGAGACACGGCCCAGACUCCUACGGGAGGCAGCAGUGGGGAAUAUUGGACAAUGGGGGCAACCCUGAUCCAGCCAUGCCGCGUGUGUGAAGAAGGCCUUCGGGUUGUAAAGCACUUUCAGACGUGAGGAAAGGUUAGUAGUUAAUACCUGCUAGCUGUGACGUUAGCGUCAGAAGAAGCACCGGCUAACUCCGUGCCAGCAGCCGCGGUAAUACGGAGGGUGCGAGCGUUAAUCGGAAUUACUGGGCGUAAAGCGCACGCAGGCGGUUUGUUAAGCUAGAUGUGAAAGCCCCGGGCUCAACCUGGGAACUGCAUUUAGAACUGGCAGGCUAGAGUCUUGGAGAGGGGAGUGGAAUUCCAGGUGUAGCGGUGAAAUGCGUAGAGAUCUGGAGGAACAUCAGUGGCGAAGGCGACUCCCUGGCCAAAGACUGACGCUCAUGUGCGAAAGUGUGGGUAGCGAACAGGAUUAGAUACCCUGGUAGUCCACACCGUAAACGAUGUCUACUAGCUGUUUGUGUCCUUAAGACGUGAGUAGCGCAGUUAACGCGCUAA